GUUUGCUAAUCAACCAAAUACUCUUCAUACCAAUAUGAAAGAUGAUUUUGCGCAAAUUGCUUCAACAGGUAUUCAUCUAGAUGACCAACUGGAGCAAUUUUUGAUAGAUCAUGAGAGUCUUAUUAAUGAUAAAUAUAGGAGACAAAUUGAUGAAAAUUUUCACUUUCAACCACCACUCUUGAAAGUUAAUAUUCCACCUGAUAGUUUGGGGAAGCCAACUCCUCGAAAGGGAGACCUGGUGUUUGAUUUAACACCUCUACCCAAAAAAAACUUAGAUGUACUUAUCUAGAUGAAAAGAAAGUCUAUCCUAUUAUUAUCAAUGCUACCUGUGAAGUGUGAAUUGUUGGAAAUAUUCUACCUGAUACUUUGGGGAAGCCACCACGUCCUCCAAAUGGAGAGUCGAUGUUUGAUUUAACACCUCCACCAAAAACAGUUAGAUAUACUUAUCUGGAUGAAAAGAAAGUCUAUCAUGUUAUUAUCAAUGCUACCUGUGAAUUGUUGGAAAUAUGCCCUAGAGGCAAUAAUAAUUGUAUUAUUUAUUUCCAAAUAUAUGAUUAAUGUCUAUGUUCUAUGUUAU
Molecule: ribosomal RNA, 577 nt
Filed under: Triticum aestivum (bread wheat)
Lineage: Eukaryota; Viridiplantae; Streptophyta; Magnoliopsida; Poales; Poaceae
Description: partial small subunit ribosomal RNA
Source: RNAcentral